GGGGGCAUAGCUUAAUGGUCAGAGCGACCUGCUUAUAACGGGUUAGUCUGGGUUCAACUCCCAGUGUCCCUA
Molecule: transfer RNA, 72 nt
Filed under: Synechococcus phage S-CREM1
Lineage: Duplodnaviria; Heunggongvirae; Uroviricota; Caudoviricetes; Pantevenvirales; Kyanoviridae
Rfam family: tRNA
About the family: Transfer RNA (tRNA) molecules are approximately 80 nucleotides in length. Their secondary structure includes four short double-helical elements and three loops (D, anti-codon, and T loops).
Source: Rfam by way of RNAcentral